UGCGCCACGACGGGAACUCCCCUUAUUUUUAUUUAUUUAUUUUUUUUGUUGGAACCAGCAAAUUUAAAUGGUUUGUUCUAUUUUUCAGCAGUAUCAGCUGGCGCUGUAAGAAUUUUGUAGGGACUGUCCUGGGAGCUUGCCAGUUUUGAGAUGGUGACUUGAGCUGGGCACUCACGGGUGCUCCAGGGAAUCGGCCCAGCCCUAUCUUUGGAACUGUCAUCACUACCACAGUGAAAAGCACAGCAGCCUUAGGGGCUCCUGGGGAAGCCCCACAAUGCACUCAAGCCAGAGGCAGGACCAGACCAACCCCCAAUCCCAGCUUUGUGAGUUUAUCUCUAGGAAUACGCCACAGGCCAGUGCUGUAUCAGUUUGGGUCCAGUCGGGAAAGAAAAAAACCACACGGUGAUUUGAACAGGGAAAGUUUAAUGUAAAGAAUUAUUGGAAUUCCCUGGUGGCCUAGUGGUUAAAGGGUCUGGCGUUGUCACGGCUGUGGCACAGGUUUGAUCCUUGGCCUGGGAACUUCUGCAUGCUGUGAAUGCGGCCAAAAUGACUAACAGUAAAUUUGAAAUAAAGGAGUCUUUGGUAA
Molecule: long non-coding RNA, 586 nt
Organism: Phacochoerus africanus (Common warthog)
Lineage: Eukaryota; Metazoa; Chordata; Mammalia; Artiodactyla; Suidae
Exons: 2
Source: RefSeq, a predicted model, not a curated record